Molecule: ribosomal RNA, 377 nt
Filed under: uncultured eukaryote
Lineage: Eukaryota
Description: partial 18S ribosomal RNA
Rfam family: Eukaryotic small subunit ribosomal RNA
Source: RNAcentral
CAAUAGCGUAUAUUUAAGUUGCUGCAGUUAAAAAGCUCGUAGUUGGAUUUCGGGUGGGAAUGGCCGGUCCGCCGUUUCGGUGUGCACUUGCUACGCCCACCUUGCUGCCGGGGACGUGCUCUUGCGUUUCGGCUCGGGACACGGAGUCGGCGAGGUUACUUUGAGUAAAUUAGAGUGUUCAAAGCAGGCCUACGCUCUGAAUACAUUAGCAUGGAAUAACACGAUAGGACUCUGGCCUAUCUUGUUGGUCUGUAGGACCGGAGUAAUGAUUAAGAGGGACAGUCGGGGGCAUUCGUAUUUCAUUGUCAGAGGUGAAAUUCUUGGAUUUAUGAAAGACGAACUACUGCGAAAGCAUUUGCCAAGGAUGUUUUCAUUAA